Molecule: ribosomal RNA, 1009 nt
Filed under: Staphylococcus aureus
Lineage: Bacteria; Bacillati; Bacillota; Bacilli; Caryophanales; Staphylococcaceae
Also listed under: 1 other name
Description: bacterial SSU rRNA
Rfam family: Bacterial small subunit ribosomal RNA
Source: RNAcentral
UUUAUGGAGAGUUUGAUCCUGGCUCAGGAUGAACGCUGGCGGCGUGCCUAAUACAUGCAAGUCGAGCGAACGGAUGAGAAGCUUGCUUCUCUGAUGUUAGCGGCGGACGGGUGAGUAACACGUGGAUAACCUACCUAUAAGACUGGGAUAACUUCGGGAAACCGGAGCUAAUACCGGAUAAUAUUUUGAACCGCAUGGUUCAAAAGUGAAAGACGGUCUUGCUGUCACUUAUAGAUGGAUCCGCGCUGCAUUAGCUAGUUGGUAAGGUAACGGCUUACCAAGGCAACGAUGCAUAGCCGACCUGAGAGGGUGAUCGGCCACACUGGAACUGAGACACGGUCCAGACUCCUACGGGAGGCAGCAGUAGGGAAUCUUCCGCAAUGGGCGAAAGCCUGACGGAGCAACGCCGCGUGAGUGAUGAAGGUCUUCGGAUCGUAAAACUCUGUUAUUAGGGAAGAACAUAUGUGUAAGUAACUGUGCACAUCUUGACGGUACCUAAUCAGAAAGCCACGGCUAACUACGUGCCAGCAGCCGCGGUAAUACGUAGGUGGCAAGCGUUAUCCGGAAUUAUUGGGCGUAAAGCGCGCGUAGGCGGUUUUUUAAGUCUGAUGUGAAAGCCCACGGCUCAACCGUGGAGGGUCAUUGGAAACUGGAAAACUUGAGUGCAGAAGAGGAAAGUGGAAUUCCAUGUGUAGCGGUGAAAUGCGCAGAGAUAUGGAGGAACACCAGUGGCGAAGGCGACUUUCUGGUCUGUAACUGACGCUGAUGUGCGAAAGCGUGGGGAUCAAACAGGAUUAGAUACCCUGGUAGUCCACGCCGUAAACGAUGAGUGCUAAGUGUUAGGGGGUUUCCGCCCCUUAGUGCUGCAGCUAACGCAUUAAGCACUCCGCCUGGGGAGUACGACCGCAAGGUUGAAACUCAAAGGAAUUGACGGGGACCCGCACAAGCGGUGGAGCAUGUGGUUUAAUUCGAAGCAACGCGAAGAACCUUACCAAAUCUUGACAUCCUU